Molecule: transfer RNA, 73 nt
Filed under: Treponema sp.
Lineage: Bacteria; Pseudomonadati; Spirochaetota; Spirochaetia; Treponematales; Treponemataceae
Description: tRNA-Pro
Rfam family: tRNA
About the family: Transfer RNA (tRNA) molecules are approximately 80 nucleotides in length. Their secondary structure includes four short double-helical elements and three loops (D, anti-codon, and T loops).
Source: RNAcentral
CGGGCAAUAGCGCAGCUGGUAGCGCGCUUGGUUCGGGACCAAGAGGUCGGCGGUUCAACUCCGCCUUGCCCGA